AGAGUUUGAUCAUGGCUCAGAACGAACGCUGGCGGCGCGUCUUAACCAUGCAAGUCGAGCGGUAGUGUGCCUUCGGGUACAUGAGAGCGGCGGACUGGUGAGUAACACGUGGAUGACGCACCCUCCGGACUGGGACAGCCUGUAGAAAUAGAGGGUGAUACCGGGUACGCUCUUUUGCGUGGGAGCAGAAGAGGAAAGGAGCUAACGCUCUGCCGGGGGAGCGGUCUGCGGCCCAUCAGCAUGACGGCGGGGUAACGGCCCACCGAAGCAAUGACGGGUAUCCGGCCUGAGAGGGCGGACGGACACAUUGGGACUGAGAUACGGCCCAGACUCCUACGGGAGGCAGCAGGUAAGAAUAUUCCGCAAUGGGGGAAACCCUGACGGAGCGACGCCGCGUGCACGAAGAAGGCCGGAAGGUUGUAAAGUGCUUUGGCAGUUGGAGAAGAAGGUAUAGUGAGAGCUAUGCUGGUGACUGGAGGCUGAAAACAAGCGCCGGCUAAUUACGUGCCAGCAGCCGCGGUAACACGUAAGGCGCGAGCGUUGUUCGGAAUCAUUGGGCGUAAAGGGCGCGCAGGCGGGGGUGCAAGCCUGGCGAGAAAUACCGUAGCUCAACUACGGUGCUAUGCCGGGAACUGCACCGCUUGAGUCGCCGAGGGGCAUCCGGAAUUCCGCGUGUAGGGGUGAAAUCUGUAGAUAUGCGGAAGAACACCAGUGGCGAAGGCGGGAUGCUGGCGGACGACUGACGCUGAGGCGCGAAGGUGCGGGGAGCAAACAGGAUUAGAUACCCUGGUAGUCCGCACAGUCAACGAUGUGCACUGGGCGUACGGGCAGGAGCCUGUGUGCCGAAGCAAACGCGAUAAGUGCACCGCCUGGGGAGUAUGCCCGCAAGGGUGAAACUCAAAGGAAUUGACGGGGGCCCGCACAAGCGGUGGAGCAUGUGGUUUAAUUCGAUGUACGCGAGGAACCUUACCUGGGCUUGACAUGUGCGGGGAAGGCGGUGAGAGCCGCCUGCACAGCAAUGUGCCCGCAUGCAGGUGCUGCAUGGCUGUCGUCAGCUCGUGCCGUGAGGUGUUGGGUUAAGUCCCGCAACGAGCGCAACCCUUGCCGCCAGUUGCCAACAGGUAGAGCUGGGCACUCUGGCGGGACUGCCCUUGACAAGGGGGAGGAAGGCGGGGACGACGUCAAGUCAUCAUGGCCCUUAUGUCCAGGGCAACACACGUGCUACAAUGGUCGCUACAGAGCGGAGCGAAGUCGCGAGGCGGAGCAGAACGCGUAAAAACGACCAAAGUACGGAUCGGAGUCUGAAACUCGACUCCGUGAAGCUGGAAUCGCUAGUAACCGCGCAUCAGCACGGCGCGGCGAAUACGUUCCCGGGCCUUGUACACACCGCCCGUCACACCAUCCGAGUCGGGGGCACCCGAAGCCGGCAGUCCAACCGCAAGGAGGGCGCUGUCUAAGGUGCGCCUGGCGAGGGGGGUGAAGUCGUAACAAGGUAGCCGUA
This 1501-nucleotide ribosomal RNA is filed under the name uncultured rumen bacterium. RNAcentral describes it as "bacterial SSU rRNA". It matches the Rfam family "Bacterial small subunit ribosomal RNA". The record is from RNAcentral.